RNAcentral lists this long non-coding RNA (344 nucleotides) under Lathyrus oleraceus (garden pea). RNAcentral describes it as "Pisum sativum (pea) long non-coding RNA (PSAT_LNC011910)". Lineage: Eukaryota; Viridiplantae; Streptophyta; Magnoliopsida; Fabales; Fabaceae. The record is from RNAcentral.
ACAAACCCACACAGGAAACCAACUGCCAAUCGCUGGACUUACGUCGGACUCCAACCAGAAAAGGAGAAACAACUCACAAAAACUAAACAAAAGGGCGAACAUGGAGCCCGAAUGCCAAUCACUGGACUUACAUCAGCAUCCGAACCAAAACACACCCACACUGGAACCCGAAUGCCACUCGAUGGACUUACAUCAACUUCCAAGCACACAACAACACAACAAGUUAAUAGGGAGUCGGGGACUCGAGCCUAUAACUGUCAAGCACACACUCAAACAAACAGACAACAAAUUGCUUAGGAGUCAGGCACUCGAGCCUAGCAACUGUCAAACAACACACACAAAAA